RNAcentral lists this long non-coding RNA (652 nucleotides) under Bos taurus (domestic cattle). RNAcentral's name for it is "long non-coding RNA NONBTAT000389". The record is from RNAcentral. Lineage: Eukaryota; Metazoa; Chordata; Mammalia; Artiodactyla; Bovidae.
CAGUUGUAUAACAUUUUAUUAAAACCUUUCUCUAUUGGCUCAAAGGCACAAGAGAAUCUCCGGUUGUGUUUGGCAUGAGAGGUAAUUUCUAUUUCUAACUUAGCUUCUCUUGGCCGUCCAGAAAUUGUUUACUUAACAUUUUAAUCUAUUUACAUCAGUUUUAAAAGACGUAUAUUUCACACUGAAGCAUUGAAACAUACACAUCCCAUGGAGAGUGGAUUUGGACAUCAGUUUUGGGGACGGAUGUAUCUCCACCUUCUCACACCUCCCUCCCCUAGCUGUGGUCUGAAAUGAGUGGCCCUAAGUAAACCCCAGGCCUGGUAGUUGUAUUUUUCCUCGGACUGGGAGCUCACUUAGCUACAGCCAGAAUAUUGAAGUGCCUUAAGUAUGCCGUUUGUUAAUUGCUGCAGUCCCCACUGGCAAGUGCCUUGGAGACCUAGUAUACCCCGCUUUCUGAGCCCACUGCUUUCAUCUGCAGUCGGCCCUCACCUGUCUCCGCAGGGCUCAGCGCCUCAAUCAGCGACUGCAGACCUAGGCAGGGUCAGGAGAGAGUUGGCUUUCAGGCUCCAGUAAAGCACCUAAGUGCCAGACCCCGGAUGGUUUGGAAUGUCGUAGGCCUGAGUCUCCUAACUGCUAGGCAGACUCAGUCUAC